GCCCCUGUAGCUCAGUUGGUUAGAGCACGUCCUUGGUAAGGACGAGGUCUCCGGUUCGAUUCCGGUCGGGGGCU
Molecule: transfer RNA, 74 nt
Filed under: Candidatus Omnitrophota bacterium
Lineage: Bacteria; Pseudomonadati; Candidatus Omnitrophota
Description: tRNA-Thr
Rfam family: tRNA
About the family: Transfer RNA (tRNA) molecules are approximately 80 nucleotides in length. Their secondary structure includes four short double-helical elements and three loops (D, anti-codon, and T loops).
Source: RNAcentral